CAUUGAUGACUUCUCUUGAACUCCUACCUUCCUUUCAUCCACGGCGAGGGCCGUGUUGUCACCGUCAAGAACCGCCAACGCCGCCUCUUCACCAACAAUGCCAAUGGCAGUUGGAACCCCUACCGGGGCAAAAGCGUUUGGAGCCACGUCCCCUUCAAGCAACCCGCCACCUUUGACAUGCUCUUCAUGCCCCCUGAUGAGAAGGAGGCCGUCAUCGACGAGCUCAUGGCAUUCCAGGAGAGCAAGGAAUACUACGCCAAGGUCGGCAAGGCGUGGAAGCGUGGGCACCUCCUUUAUGGACCACCCGGCACCGACAAGUCCACCAUGGUCGCCGCCAUGGCAAACUUCCUCGACUACGACGUCUAUGGCCUCGAGCUCACGACGGUCAAGAACAACACCAAGUUGCGGAAGCUCUUCAUCGAGACCAUGGGCAAGUCUGUCAUCAUCAUAGAGGACAUUGAGUGCUCUGUCAACCUCACCGGAAAACGCCACAAGGACAAGAAGGUCGCACGCAACAAGGACUCCGACAAGAAUACAAAAUGCUAACAAGACCCAUUGAAGGAUGAUGAAAGCAAGCUGAUGCUCUCAAGCCUGCUUAACUUCAUCAACGGGCUAUGGUCAGCAUGCGGCCAUGAGAGAAUCAUCAUCUUCACAACGAACAACAAGGAGAAACCGGACCUGGCACCGGUCCGGAAGGGCAGGAUGGACAAGCACAUCGAGAUAUCCUAUUGCCUCUUUGAGGGCUUCAAGGUGCUUGCCAAGUACUACCUGGACAUCAUGGAGCAGCUGUUUGGGGAGAUUCGACGGCUGCUCGAGGAGACCAACAUGUCGCCCACCGAUGUGGCAGACAGCUUGAUGCCAAUGUCGACGAAGAAGAAGAAGAGGGACCCUGAUUAUUGUUUAUUAGGCCUCAUUGAGGCGCUCAAGCAGGCCAAGCAGGCGAAGGCGAAUGAGGAAGAGGAGGCAGAAGCGGAGAAAGCCGAGGAGAAAGAGAAGCAAAGGAGAAGAAAGGAAAGGAGAAAGACGACGGGAAGGGCGCAACACCGGAGGAAGCUAAAGGAGACAUCAAACAAGGUGAUGAGUUAA
RNAcentral lists this ribosomal RNA (1086 nucleotides) under Triticum aestivum (bread wheat). RNAcentral's name for it is "partial small subunit ribosomal RNA". The record is from RNAcentral. Lineage: Eukaryota; Viridiplantae; Streptophyta; Magnoliopsida; Poales; Poaceae.